Molecule: ribosomal RNA, 761 nt
Filed under: uncultured bacterium
Lineage: Bacteria
Description: bacterial SSU rRNA
Rfam family: Bacterial small subunit ribosomal RNA
Source: RNAcentral
AGAGUUUGAUCAUGGCUCAGGAUGAACGCUGGCGGCGUGCCUAAAACAUGCAAGUCGUGCGGUAACAGGUCUAGUUUACUAGAUGCUGACGAGCGGCGGACGGCUGAGUAACGCGUGGGAAUCUGCCCCAAAGUGAGGGAUAACUGCCCGAAAGGGUGGCUAAUACCGCAUAUGGUCCAAGGAUUAAAGGAGUAAUCCGCUUUGGGAAGAGCCCGCGUAAGAUUAGAUAGUUGGUGAGGUAAUGGCUCACCAAGUCGACGAUCUUUAACUGGUUUGAGAGGAUGAUCAGUCAGACUGGAACUGAGACACGGUCCAGACUCCUACGGGAGGCAGCAGUUAGGAAUAUUCCACAAUGGGGGCAACCCUGAUGGAGCAACGCCGCGUGGAGGACGAAGGCCUUCGGGUCGUAAACUUCUUUUCUAUGCGAAGAAUAUGACGGUAACAUAGGAAUAAGGGUCUGCUAACUACGUGCCAGCAGCCGCGGUCAUACGUAGGACCCAAGCGUUAUCCGGAUUGACUGGACGUAAAGAGUUGCGUAGGUGGUUUGUCAAGCGAGCAGUGAAAUCUUGUAGCUCAACUAUAAGGCUAUUGUUCGAACUGGCAGACUCGAGAAUGGAAGAGGUAUCUGGAAUUCCCAGUGUAGGAGUGAAAUCCGUAGAUAUUGGGAGGAACACCAAUGGCGUAGGCAGGAUACUGGUCCAUUUCUGACACUGAUGCACGAAAGCGUGGGGAGCGAACGGGAUUAGAUACCCUAGUAGUCC